GACGAACGCUGGCGGCGUGCUUAACACAUGCAAGUCGAACGGAAAGGCCCUGCUUUUGUGGGGUGCUCGAGUGGCGAACGGGUGAGUAACACGUGAGUAACCUGCCCUUGACUUUGGGAUAACUUCAGGAAACUGGGGCUAAUACCGGAUAGGAGCUCCUGCUGCAUGGUGGGGGUUGGAAAGUUUCGGCGGUUGGGGAUGGACUCGCGGCUUAUCAGCUUGUUGGUGGGGUAGUGGCUUACCAAGGCUUUGACGGGUAGCCGGCCUGAGAGGGUGACCGGGCACAUUGUGACUGAGAGACGGCCCAGACGCCUACGGGAGGCAGCAGUGGGGAAUAUGGCACAAUGGGCGGAAGCCUGAUGCAGCAACGCCGCGUGCGGGAUGACGGUAAUGGGUAAAGAAGCACCGGCUAACUACGUG
This 420-nucleotide ribosomal RNA is filed under the name uncultured bacterium. RNAcentral's name for it is "partial 16S ribosomal RNA". It matches the Rfam family "Bacterial small subunit ribosomal RNA", at positions 28 to 507 of the family's 1533-position model. The record is from RNAcentral.